Long non-coding RNA from Galleria mellonella (greater wax moth), 2062 nucleotides. RefSeq lists it as uncharacterized. Lineage: Eukaryota; Metazoa; Arthropoda; Insecta; Lepidoptera; Pyralidae. The record is from RefSeq and is a predicted model, not a curated record. The transcript is spliced from 3 exons.
GCUAGCGACACUGCGUCAUUCAUUAUAUAAUUGAAAAAAAAAAACUGAGUUUUGUCAUAUUCUUAUUAAUUUUUGUGUUUUGUCUGAUACGUGUUUGUUGCUAAAUAGCACCAGCACAAUAUACGUAUGUAUAGUUAUUCAUAUGCGUUAACAAUCACGCCAACAGGUACUCGAGCAUAGGAUGAAGAUCAUGUCAUAACGGAUGACAAUGAAAUAGUAACCCCGCCUGCAUUAUCCGAAUAUGCUGGCGAGGCACCCGUGGAGGACGAUAGAUGAGCAUGAAAGCAGGUACCGUGGAUAAAGGCCGCUGCGAACUCUUAUUAAAUAGUGAUUAGCUGCUCUGUGGUAGAUUAAUUGCACCGAUAUUCUAAGUCGACAAUAUACCUAUACACACAAUACCUAUACAGAUCACAAAUGAGAGUUUACUUAAUAAUAAUAAAAGACACGGACAUUGUUCUGUAAUCUAAUGAUGUAACCUUGGCUCUCAAUUUGCAUUUACGGAUUAGAUUACAAAUGACAGUUUGUAGGUACUUUACUUACCUAAAACUUAGGCUCAAGAGGAAAGGUAUUGUUAAUAAUGUAUAAUAAAUAAAUCAGGUCAAACUCAACGCGGUUCCUCCUGGAAACCAUCGUUGCUUAAAUCUUGUUGAAUUCGUCAGGAUGGGCUAACUGACCUGCUUUCAUCCAAACCUAUCAUCACUCAUUAGUGCCCCGCCAGUGAAUACCGAUAAAAUUAGCGGGCUUACCAUUUCAUUAUCUUCCGUUGAAAUAAACUUAGACUCACGUGAUUUGACCUCAGAGCUUUAGUGUUCUCAAUAUAUAAUAUUGCAUCUAAAUAAAUGUAUAACCAUAAAUUUAUCUAUAACUACAUUAUAAUAAAAUUGUAGCUAGGCGAUGUUUGUACAUAGGGAUUCUUAAAAAAAAUAUCCCGAUCGAUAUUGUACGCGAAACUACAUUCGUAACCAAUAAAAUGAAACGUACAAAAUUACCUUAUUUAUUCUAGAUUGUUAAAAUCAUAGAAAUGUAAAGCAUAAUGUAAUGAGUUUACAUUAUGUUUAUAAUAACAUGAUAAAUGUUAUUAUAACUAUCUAGGCAAUAUGCAACAAAAUAAUGUGACCACAAGGCGUGCCACGGACGGGUCCGAAGUACAAUAAUUUGUUAUUACGAGUACUUACUGACAUUUAUUUAUAUUGUGAAAAAGAUAAGUAAAGAUAAUACUUAAUAAUAACAAGAGUGACUCAAGACACUGUGUUUGGCCAUAGUUUAGAUGGACGAAGAGACUGAUCUCUAACUCUCAUCUGAGAGGGAUAACUCAAUGACUAAGAAAUGACGUCCACACAGUUAAUGUGACGAGGAUUCGUUAUUUCCACGUGAUACGUAAGAUUAUAUAAUUUUGUACGUAACUCUCUCGGAUAGAUAGCUACUGUUAUUUGUUGACGUUUUUUCUGUAGUUUCGAUAUUAAAUCACAUUGCACGCAUCAUACUUAUUAAUAAUUAACCGAAAGAAAAAGAAAAAAAUAUUGAGUUUGUCCUAUAAUUAGAAAUUAUUUGUGUUGUUUGUAUUGUCAUAUUUUCCAAAGAAAAGAAACUAAAAAAACAACGUACAUAUCACAACAAGCGUAAUGUCAUUAAGGUCAAUAUUAUUAUAAAAAAUUAGCCCAACCAAAACACAUAAAUGUAUUUUGAUAUAUAUGUAUUAAUAAAAAAAAAAAAAAUAAGUAACUCAUUGUUACAAUAACUUAUAGAGAAAAAUAUGAAAGAUGAAAUAAAUAUAAUACCUUAAAAUAAUGACGGAAGCUUAUUAAUGGAUAACUGACAUUCUCGCCAGUUUUUACAUUGCCAUAUUGUUGAAUACGAAAGUGCAUGGAUAACAACAACUCUAAAUAUAAAACAAUGUUUUGUAUGAAAAUAUUUUACUGUUUCAUUAAAGUACAACUCAAUAACACUCAUCAAUAAAAUUCUGUAAAGUACUCGAUAGAAGAAUCUUAAUAAUAAUAUAUUUAGAACCAAUACCAAUACGAUCGCAUCAAAUUUUUAAAAUAUUAUAUUAUAAUUUUUAGAA